CUACACACGUCAUAACAAUGGCCGGUACAGGAGGGUAGCCAACCCGCGAGGGGGAGCCAAUCCCACAAAGCCGAUCGUAGUCCGGAUCGCAGUCUGCAACUCGACUGCGUGAAGUCGGAAUCGCUAGUAAUCGUGGAUCAGCAUGUCACGGUGAAUACGUUCCCGGGUCUU
RNAcentral lists this ribosomal RNA (171 nucleotides) under uncultured Allobrachymonas sp. Its description in RNAcentral is "uncultured Brachymonas sp. partial 16S ribosomal RNA". It matches the Rfam family "Bacterial small subunit ribosomal RNA", at positions 1214 to 1382 of the family's 1533-position model. Lineage: Bacteria; Pseudomonadati; Pseudomonadota; Betaproteobacteria; Burkholderiales; Comamonadaceae. The record is from RNAcentral.